This 324-nucleotide ribosomal RNA is filed under the name uncultured eukaryote. RNAcentral describes it as "partial 18S ribosomal RNA". It matches the Rfam family "Eukaryotic small subunit ribosomal RNA", at positions 1470 to 1796 of the family's 1831-position model. The record is from RNAcentral.
CCCUUAGAUGUUCUGGGCGGCCCGCGCACUACAAUGGCGCUUUCAGCGAGUUCCUAUGUUGAAUUUUCCUUGGUAUUCUUGGAAGCGGCGUCUUGACUUGGGAUAGAUCCUUGUAAUUGUUGGUUUUGAACGAGGAAUUCCUUGUAAUCGCGGUUGAUCAGCUCGCGUUGAAUACGUCCCUGCCCUUUGUACACACCGCCCGUCGCUCCUACCGAUUGGGUGUGCUGGUGAAAUGUUCGGAUCGGCCGUUUGUCGCGGUUUCCGCGUCAUGUGGCUGAGAAGUUCAUUAAACCCUCCCACCUAGAGGAAGGAGAAGUCGUAACA